AAUUUAUCCAAAAGAUGGCCUCUUUCUGAGGCAUCCAUUCUCCUCCAAACAGAACCGAGGGAAAAAGCCAGCCGAGCUGCCCUCACUGCCUUGUCUGUAUCAACCUGGGAAGAAGGAAGAAGAAAAUUGAAGACGCAAGGUCUGUGCAAGCCAUUCUGGUACAGGACUGCUGCAACAGUGUGUCACAACUGAAGCAACUGGAAAAAACAAAAAGUUCCUUGAUUUGGAAGGUGGGAAAGUGGAUCCAGGAUAAAAGUCCUGCCCAAGACAAAACUCCAAGCUGAAGACUCCAAUUAUCUAUAAAUCACUUGAAUUUCCUGCAGAGAAAGAGAAAAAGGAGGAAAGAGCAAGGCAGACAGAAAAACAGAGACAGAGGAUAUGCCAAGUGAAACAUCUGAUACCUGUCCUAAACCAAAAUUUUCUCAAAAGCAACCAGGAGUUACCUGAUAUCCAAGCUUAGAAGAAACACAUUGCUGUUGUUUUUGGCUUAAUAUUGAAAUUAAAUAGCUUUCUUUUAAUUGUUCCAUUAGUAUAAAAUGUGUAACAUUUUAGAUCUGAGAUGACGGAAUUAUGUAUUGAUUUAUUAAAGGUCACUGUACAUUCUCACAGACAGAAA
Haemorhous mexicanus (house finch) is the source of this 616-nucleotide long non-coding RNA. RefSeq lists it as uncharacterized. NCBI's taxonomy places the organism in Eukaryota, Metazoa, Chordata, Aves, Passeriformes, Fringillidae. The record is from RefSeq and is a predicted model, not a curated record. The transcript has 3 exons.